This 332-nucleotide ribosomal RNA is filed under the name Stutzerimonas balearica. RNAcentral's name for it is "Pseudomonas balearica (oil production facility metagenome) partial 23S ribosomal RNA". It matches the Rfam family "Bacterial large subunit ribosomal RNA", at positions 2613 to 2925 of the family's 2925-position model. The record is from RNAcentral. Lineage: Bacteria; Pseudomonadati; Pseudomonadota; Gammaproteobacteria; Pseudomonadales; Pseudomonadaceae.
AGAACGUCGUGAGACAGUUCGGUCCCUAUCUGCCGUGGACGUUUGAGAUUUGAGAGGGGCUGCUCCUAGUACGAGAGGACCGGAGUGGACGAACCUCUGGUGUUCCGGUUGUCACGCCAGUGGCACUGCCGGGUAGCUAUGUUCGGAAGAGAUAACCGCUGAAAGCAUCUAAGCGGGAAACUUGCCUCAAGAUGAGAUCUCACUGGAGCCUCGAGCUCCCUGAAGGGCCGUCGAAGACUACGACGUUGAUAGGCAGGGUGUGUAAGCGUUGUGAGGCGUUGAGCUAACCUGUACUAAUUGCCCGUGAGGCUUGACCAUAUAACACCCAAACA